CCCCUUUCCAUCGCCGCAGGAAUCCCUAUAUGGGGUCGUGCCGGGUUUGACCCGGCUAUGGCGAUAAACUGCGGCGUGCAAUAGACGCAGCGGACCCGGGGGCGGUACCCGGCGGCUCCACCACCUCUCUCGUUCCGGCCCUUGGGCCAGGCGGGAAAGAUGACGGGGCCGAACUAGGAUCGACGUGUGUUGAAAAGCGUUGUUUUCGCCCGGGCUGAGUAACCCGUUCAAGGCUCAAAACCAACAAGUGCCAACGACAACGAAGCACUUGCUCUCGCCGCGUAACCUGACGGCCUAACGGCCUGAUCUUACAAAGCGAAAGCGCGGCUGGACACGCCGGUCAACAGAAGUGAUACCAGCGGCCCGGGGGGUGCCGGGCAACAGAAAUCCCCCCACC
RNAcentral lists this transfer-messenger RNA (397 nucleotides) under Sphingomonas sp. R1F5B. It matches the Rfam family "Alphaproteobacteria transfer-messenger RNA". Rfam says of the family: Bacterial tmRNA, also known as 10Sa RNA or SsrA, is named for its dual tRNA and mRNA-like properties. The record is from RNAcentral. Lineage: Bacteria; Pseudomonadati; Pseudomonadota; Alphaproteobacteria; Sphingomonadales; Sphingomonadaceae.